AGAGUUUGAUCAUGGCUCAGGAUGAACGCUGGCGGCGUGCCUAAUACAUGCAAGUCGAGCGGAGAAUUUAGCAAUAGAUUCUUAGCGGCGAACGGGUGAGUAACGCGUUGGUGACCUGCCUCGAAGUUUGGGAUAACAGUCCGAAAGGACUGCUAAUACCGGAUGUGAUCGCGGAGAUUAGAGGCUCUGUGAUUAAAGGAGAAAUUCGCUUCGAGAGGGGCCUGCGUCCCAUCAGCUAGUUGGUAAGGUAAAGGCUUACCAAGGCGAUGACGGGUAGGGGACCUGAGAGGGUGGCCCCCCACAAUGGAACUGAAACACGGUCCAUACACCUACGGGUGGCAGCAGUAGGGAAUAUUGCAUAAUGGGCGAAAGCCUGAUGCAGCAACGCCGCGUGUGCGAUGAAGGCCUUCGGGUCGUAAAGCACUUUUGGAGGGGAUGAGGAAGGACAGUACCCUUCGAAUAAGCUUCGGCUAACUACGUG
This 481-nucleotide ribosomal RNA is filed under the name uncultured bacterium. RNAcentral describes it as "bacterial SSU rRNA". It matches the Rfam family "Bacterial small subunit ribosomal RNA", at positions 8 to 507 of the family's 1533-position model. The record is from RNAcentral.